GCCUCAGGGGCAGCACCGGGGGGGGGCUGGGCCGCGAGUGCACCCCACCGACCCGGCCUCUUCCACCUAUACGGCACCCCUGUCCUGCGGCUGCGGCACUCGAGCGGCGGGGCCUGGGCCGCCAGGCAGGGCUGUUGCAUAACCUAAGCAUGCGCCCUACGCACGAGCGGGCGGGGGCUACUACGCGGAGGGGCUUGGAAGUUGGGGUGGCAGACGAACUGAGUCACGUGAGCGGGGGGCUCGGUGGAGAGAGGGAGGCUGGAAAAGGGAGGGGGGGUGUGGAGGACUUGACGGAGGAAGAGGCUCUCUCGGCGGCAGGAGAAGGGGAAUGGCGGGGCGCGCUGCAAAGCUGCUUCCAGGCAGAAGCUCUGUCCCGCUGGGCAUGAUGGCAGUGCUUGGGCAGGGGGCCGUGCCACUGAAGUGUGGUCAUGCGAGUUCAGGACUGGAGGAGCCCGCUGGGUGCUGUUGCAGCCCCAGAGCUGGGUGAGAGGCAUCCAGCCCACUAGCCUUCCCCUCGGGCUCGGCUCCAGCGCUGCAGGAAGUCUUACACAUUUACACACGCCCAGAAGAGCGGGCUCCAUGUGGGAGUUACACGGCCCUGUUCCCGCUCCCGUUUCUGCGCGGCAGCGUACAUAUCAUGUUGUACAAGUGCUGGGCAGGAAAGACCGCUUGCUGCACGUAGAUCAGCCAAUGAGAGAAGCGAAUUGAAGAGUGUCAACAUCCCGGGCUGAGUGGUCACUAACUGCCCGUAUGAGUGAGCUGGCUGAGCCCCUGGCUCCCCGCGAUUCGAUUUCAGGCAAAGACAAAAAUAAUGCCCGGCGCAAGGGGAGAGGAAGUCAUGCUCUUCCUCUAGGGAUCUCCCACCAAAUCCUGCUUUGGAGAACGUUGGCAUUUAACUGAAUAAAAAGUUAGUUUUGCUUUGUGCUAUGCACACACUAUACCAUACAGCUCUAUAAAUGCUAACCCAGAGCAGUGCUUUUCAACCUUUUUUCAUUUGUGGACCUUAAAUUUCAAGUGGUGCUUUGAAAUCUUAGACCUAGUUUGCGAACUCCCAGCAGUAUGUGGACCACAGGUUGAAGACCACUUACCUUGUGCAUUAAGAAUAGGGGACGUGACAUAACAGGGAGCUGGUUGAUUCCCUUCUGAGCAAUGCUAACUCAAGCCUGAUUGGAGGACAUUUGUAUCCAGGGAGUGACUGAUGUAGCCUAUAAGGAUGGUAAAAUAAAGUGGAAGUCCUUAAUAAAAAAAUGUUUCUUGAA
Molecule: long non-coding RNA, 1259 nt
Organism: Gopherus evgoodei (Goodes thornscrub tortoise)
Lineage: Eukaryota; Metazoa; Chordata; Testudines; Testudinidae
Exons: 2
Source: RefSeq, a predicted model, not a curated record